Molecule: transfer RNA, 76 nt
Filed under: Rhizobium sp. LCM 4573
Lineage: Bacteria; Pseudomonadati; Pseudomonadota; Alphaproteobacteria; Hyphomicrobiales; Rhizobiaceae
Description: tRNA-Met
Source: RNAcentral
CGCAGAGUGGAGAAACGGUUAUCUCGCAUGGCUCAUAACCAUGAUGUAGCGCGUUCGACUCGCGCCUCUGCAACCA